Fistulina hepatica ATCC 64428 is the source of this 84-nucleotide transfer RNA. It matches the Rfam family "tRNA". Rfam says of the family: Transfer RNA (tRNA) molecules are approximately 80 nucleotides in length. Their secondary structure includes four short double-helical elements and three loops (D, anti-codon, and T loops). The record is from Rfam. NCBI's taxonomy places the organism in Eukaryota, Fungi, Basidiomycota, Agaricomycetes, Agaricales, Fistulinaceae.
GUCCCUGUCGAUUAGUGGUUAAAUCAUCUCGUUGUGGUUAUAUCACGAACCGAGAAGCCGGAAGUUCGAAUCCUCCCUGGGACA